UUUCCGUAGGCGAACCUGCGGAAGGAUCAUUAUUGGGUUUUGAAACUUCAGGCUGCUGCUGGCUCUCCUCGGAGGGCAUGUGCACGCUUGUUGUCCAUUAUUUCUCCCACUGUGCACAAAUUGUAGACCUUUCAGUAGGCCUAUGUUGUUUUUCACAAUCUCUGAAUGUAAUAGAAUGGUUUUGAAUCUUGGGAAAUACAAUACAACUUUCAGCAACGGAUCUCUUGGCUCUC
RNAcentral lists this unclassified non-coding RNA (233 nucleotides) under plant metagenome. RNAcentral's name for it is "partial contains small subunit ribosomal RNA, internal transcribed spacer 1, and 5.8S ribosomal RNA". The record is from RNAcentral.